GACGAACGCUGGCGGCGUGCUUAACACAUGCGAGUCGAACGGAAAGGCCCUGCUUGCAUGGUACUCGAGUGGCGAACGGGUGAGUAACUCGUGGGUGAUCUGCCCUGCACUUCGGGGUAAGCCUGGGAAACUGGGUCUAAUACCGGAUAGGUGCCAUUUUUAGUGUGAUGGUUGGAAAGUGUUUUCGGUGUAGGAUGAGCUCGCGGCCUAUCAGCUUGUUGGUGGGGUAAUGGCCUACCAAGGCGGCGACGGGUAGCCGGCCUGAGAGGGUGGACGGCCACAUUGGGACUGAGAUACGGCCCAGACUCCUACGGGAGGCAGCAGUGGGGAAUAUUGCACAAUGGGCGCAAGCCUGAUGCAGCGACGCCGCGUGGGGGAUGACGGCCUUCGGGUUGUAAACUCCUUUCGCUAGGGACGAAGCUUUUUGUGACGGUACCUAGAUAAGAAGCACCGGCUAACUACGUG
This 465-nucleotide ribosomal RNA is filed under the name uncultured bacterium. RNAcentral's name for it is "partial 16S ribosomal RNA". It matches the Rfam family "Bacterial small subunit ribosomal RNA", at positions 28 to 507 of the family's 1533-position model. The record is from RNAcentral.